This 511-nucleotide ribosomal RNA is filed under the name uncultured bacterium. RNAcentral describes it as "partial 16S ribosomal RNA". The record is from RNAcentral.
GGAGUUAGCCGGUGCUUCUUCUGCGAGUAACGUCACAGAUGUAAGGUAUUAACUUACACCCUUUCCUCCUCGCUGAAAGUGCUUUACAACCCGAAGGCCUUCUUCACACACGCGGCAUGGCUGCAUCAGGGUUUCCCCCAUUGUGCAAUAUUCCCCACUGCUGCCUCCCGUAGGAGUCUGGGCCGUGUCUCAGUCCCAGUGUGGCUGAUCAUCCUCUCAGACCAGCUAGGGAUCGUCGCCUAGGUGAGCCUUUACCUCACCUACUAGCUAAUCCCACCUGGGCUUAUCCAUCAGCGCAAGGCCCGAAGGUCCCCUGCUUUCCCCCGUAGGGCGUAUGCGGUAUUAGCAGUCGUUUCCAACUGUUAUCCCCCACAAAUGGGCAAAUUCCCAGGCAUUACUCACCCGUCCGCCGCUCGUCAUCUUCAAAGCAAGCUUUUAGAAAUGUUACCGCUCGACUUGCAUGUGUUAGGCCUGCCGCCAGCGUUCAAUCUGAGCCAGGAUCAAACUCUGA